CUCCGCGGGUUCCGGGAUCGGGAAGAGCCAAGGGCGCCUCUAGGGUGCAGCUGGAGAGGGGGCUCAGCGGGGCGCGGCACGGGGACCCCGCUGUGUCUUCCCCGCCCGGGGUGCGCGGGGUGCACGGAGCCCGGAUGGCUGGCUCGCCCUCUGGGGAGCCGGCCGCCCUCGCCCCGCCCUGGCUUAGGACCGGCGAGGUGCGGCGCUGCGCCCACCACCCGGCGGAGGCGCAGAGGCGUCUUCCCCGAAGUGGUGCGUGCGGCGACACAAAGGGUCGCAGUCUGGGCCCCGCCCUGGGGAGCUGUAAGCUGUCGAACUAGUCUCUGGCAGGCCUCUUGGGGGUUCCCCGAAGCGUCCCCGAGACUUGCGGCUGUAAGGUCACCGGGCCGAGGGUGGAAGAGGCGGUCCAGGGCUCCAUCCUUUGCCAGAGGCCACAUCGCCGGGAGGGCCCAGAAAUCUGUGUUUUGGUUGGAAUUUCGGUGGAAUUAGGAACCGAGAGGAGACAUUUCCACACUCUGAAGACAGCUGUGUCGCCUCCUUUGAGGAACCUCACUCCAGAGACCUGUUUGCUUUGUUCGACCUCCGAAUCCAACUGACCCACUCGAUUGGGCCCAUGAUGAGGGAGUGGAGUCAAGUCACUUGCCUGUCACUGAAUGUGGUUUCUUUUGGGAAUGGCCAAACAGGGUUUGGGAAGGAGAAUCCCAGACAGGAUCCUAGCCGGACCCCUGCCCCAACUCGUGCAAAAGAAAAAAAGAGAAGAAACAAAACAAAACAAAACCCUUAGGAGAUGUCAGCGAAAAAGAAAAAAAGGAAAGGAUAGGGGAAAAAAAAAAAAACUAAAACAAUUUAUCUUAUGCUUGCUGAUGCCCUCUUCCCCUUUCCUGACCCUUUUCCUUGCUUUCAGGAUGAAUUAAAAUUAUUAUCUGUUUGG
Molecule: long non-coding RNA, 931 nt
Organism: Cavia porcellus (domestic guinea pig)
Lineage: Eukaryota; Metazoa; Chordata; Mammalia; Rodentia; Caviidae
Exons: 3
Source: RefSeq, a predicted model, not a curated record